AUACGUAGGGGGCAAGCGUUAUCCGGAAUUAUUGGGCGUAAAGAGUGCGUAGGUGGUUACCUAAGCAGGGGGUGAAAGGCACUGGCUUAACCAAUGUCAGCCCCCUGAACUGGGCUACUUGAGUGCAGGAGAGGAAAGUGGAAUUCCUAGUGUAGCGGUGAAAUGCGUAGAUAUUAGGAGGAACACCAGUGGCGAAGGCGACUUUCUGGACUGUUACUGACACUGAGGCACGAAAGUGUGGGGAGCAAACAGGAUUAGAUACCCUGGUAGUCCACACCGUAAACGAUGAGCACUAGGUGUCGGGGGAGCAAUUUCUCGGUGCCGCAGUUAACGCAUUAAGUGCUCCGCCUGGGGAGUACGUACGCAAGUAUGAAACUCAAAGGAAUUGACGGGG
This 394-nucleotide ribosomal RNA is filed under the name uncultured bacterium. Its description in RNAcentral is "partial 16S ribosomal RNA". It matches the Rfam family "Bacterial small subunit ribosomal RNA", at positions 523 to 918 of the family's 1533-position model. The record is from RNAcentral.